RNAcentral lists this ribosomal RNA (272 nucleotides) under uncultured Staphylococcus sp. RNAcentral describes it as "partial 16S ribosomal RNA". It matches the Rfam family "Bacterial small subunit ribosomal RNA", at positions 90 to 356 of the family's 1533-position model. The record is from RNAcentral. Lineage: Bacteria; Bacillati; Bacillota; Bacilli; Caryophanales; Staphylococcaceae.
CGUUAGCGGCGGACGGGUGAGUAACACGUGGGUAACCUACCUAUAAGACUGGGAUAACUUCGGGAAACCGGAGCUAAUACCGGAUAAUAUUUCGAACCGCAUGGUUCGAUAGUGAAAGAUGGUUUUGCUAUCACUUAUAGAUGGACCCGCGCCGUAUUAGCUAGUUGGUAAGGUAACGGCUUACCAAGGCUACGAUACGUAGCCGACCUGAGAGGGUGAUCGGCCACACUGGAACUGAGACACGGUCCAGACUCCUACGGGAGGCAGCAGCG